GGCGCUGUAGCUCAGCUUGGUUAGAGCGCUGGUUUCAUAAGCCAGAAGUCGGGAGUUCAAAUCUCCCCAGCGCCA
Molecule: transfer RNA, 75 nt
Filed under: Candidatus Woesearchaeota archaeon
Lineage: Archaea; Nanobdellati; Candidatus Woesearchaeota
Description: tRNA-Met
Rfam family: tRNA
About the family: Transfer RNA (tRNA) molecules are approximately 80 nucleotides in length. Their secondary structure includes four short double-helical elements and three loops (D, anti-codon, and T loops).
Source: RNAcentral